Molecule: long non-coding RNA, 1324 nt
Organism: Rhincodon typus (whale shark)
Lineage: Eukaryota; Metazoa; Chordata; Chondrichthyes; Orectolobiformes; Rhincodontidae
Exons: 3
Source: RefSeq, a predicted model, not a curated record
GAUAACACCAAACAGGGACAGAUGACAUCAAACCACCUCUGACACUGAAUUGAAGAAAACAAAAUGGCAGAACUAACUGACCGCUACACACAGGUUAGCUUCUCCAGGUCCUGGAAUGAACAAUUAACAAAUCUGAUGAAAUGUGUGCACUUCCUCAGGAUGCAAUUACAUUCCAAAUUGGAGGGGAUGUGUACCAAUAAUACCCUGGAGAAAUUAGUGCAUUACCUGAGAGUCUUCAGGAAAUAAGGAGGAUGAAGAUGAGCUAUUGAAUUCUUACAUUUGGAAAUAUAACAUCUGUACAGAAGAAUCAAUUACUGAUUGCACAUAUUUUCUAUGUUGGGCUACAUGACUUCUUAAAGUGUUUGUUAUCAAAAUAUGCAUUUAAUUUUACUAUUUAUAAGAAGCUAGCGUGGACAUUUGUCCUCUAUUCAAUCAUAAAGACAGUAUUUUACAGUUGAUUGAUGCACUGACAGAAUUACACAAGCUGUACAUUUUUAAGAAACAACAAAUAGAAAAAAUAUAAACUUAGAAUUAAAGUGGAUCUUGCUUCUGGAUGAUCUACAAUUAAAUCCAAGUAAAUUCUUUCAGUUCUCUCUCCUCCAACAAACAGAUUUAUUUACUUCUCAGUGUAAGAUGAGGAAAUGUGAUUACUUACCUUAGAAUAUCAGUAUUAUAUUUCAUGUGCCUUUUCUCAUCAGAAGUGAUCUGAUAAAUAGAUUAAAACCUGGUGGCUGAUAGAUUACCUUUAUGAUUGUUUAGUAUUUACGGUGUGAGAAAGACCAGACCAGAUUAUGUCUCCUUCAAUUUAGAAAUGAGUUAGCCCAAGAACUUAGUCUUUAUCUGUUUCUGUUGCAUACUUUCUGUUGUUGUGCCAAUUCAUUUUGAGAUUGUUACCUCAAACCUUUCAUUACUGUACCUAUCUCAUACUCAUAUUUAAUUUCUCUGGCAUGUUGUUCAUUAGAUGACUUCUUUCACUUUCCCCCUUUAACUGACAUUUUCUUUAUUAUACAAGUUUGCAUGAUGAUUUUUAUAACACUCAAAUUGAUAUCUCUGAAUAAACCAUCUUAAUUUGGAUGCUUAUGCACAAUUUGCAAGCAUAUAUUGUGAAUCGUAAUACAUGCAUUUAUUACUAUGUUAUGUAUGUUACAUAAUACAAUAUACACAGUAUCCUAUCAUUUCCUUUGCAAUGGCGGUUACUGAUCUUCAAAAGAUAUUAAGCCGUAAAGCAUUUUGAUGAAAUUGGCUUCAGUAUAUUAGUUAUCAAUAAAUAUAAAGGUAAGUAUAUCAUCAUAUCCAAAAAUUGUCUAUUAGGCUCAAUUUUGAA